This 1298-nucleotide long non-coding RNA is filed under the name Homo sapiens (human). Its description in RNAcentral is "long non-coding RNA NONHSAT181157.1". Lineage: Eukaryota; Metazoa; Chordata; Mammalia; Primates; Hominidae. The record is from RNAcentral.
CUCCCAGCCCAGCCCUGUGGGCUUUCAGGUAGGAGGCAGAGACCGCAGGGAGGGAGCUCCCAGAGAUGCACCCCGUGGACCACGCCCUCCCUGUCUCUUCCUCCUUCCCCGGAGGACCAUGCUGGACAAAGUAGCAGCUCAAUAAACAUGUAUUGGAUUGCUCCGGAUCACAGUCAGGUCUAGGACUGCACAUUUAUCAAUUCCUUUCCACGUCAACUCAAUAUAAGUCGGGGCAAGCCUCGUAAGAUGUGAGAAGUGGAAGCUGCAGGGAGUGUCUGGAGCCCGGAGACAGGCCAUGGGUGCCUGAUCUGGAGGAGUGUGAAGGGAAACACCCAGGAAGCAGGGUCUGUUGAGUGCCUCAACACAAGGCUGCAACAGGUGGGACUUGACCUGCAAGUGCAGGAGCCAAGGGUGGGCAAGCAUCUCCACACGUUUUGAUUUUAAGGAAAAUUAUUCUUGUGACCACGCACAGGGUGGGAGAAGGAGUGAGCCCACUCGCUCACUAUUCCAGCACCGACACGGGGACGCUCACUAUUCCAGCACCGACGUGGGGACGCUCACUAUUGCAGCACCGACAAGGGGCACCAACACGGGGAUGUUCACAAUUCCAGCACCGACAUGGGGACGCUCACUAUUCCAGCACCGACACGGGGAUGCUCACUAUUCCAGCACCGACGUGGGGACGCUCGCUAUUUCAGCACCGACAAGGGGCACCGACACGGGGACGCUCACUAUUCCAGCACCGACAAGGGGCACCGACACGGGGACACUCACUAUUCCAGCACCGACACGGGGACGUUCACUAUUUCAGCACCGACACGGGGACGAUCACUAUUCCAGCACCGACACGGGGACGUUCACUAUUUCAGCACCGACACGGGGACGAUCACUAUUCCAGCACCGACACGGGGACGCUCACUAUUCCAGCACCGACAAGGGGCACCGACAUGGGGAUGCUCACUAUUCCAGCACUGACAAGGGGCACCGAUACGGGGACGCCCACUCUACCAGCACCGACACGGGGACGCUCACUAUUGCAGCACCGACAAGGGGCACCGACAUGGGGACGCUCACUAUUCCAGCACCGACACGGGGCACCGACAUGGGGACGCUCACUAUUCCAGCACCGACACGGGGUCGCUCACUAUUCCAGCACCGACACGGGGACACUCACUAUUCCAGCACCGACACGGGGCACCGACACGGGGACGCUCACUAUUCCAGCACCGACACGGGGACGCUCACUAUUCCAGCACCGACACGGGGCACCGACACGGGGACGCUCACUGUUCCAGCAC